AUGAAUUGGAUACUUCAAGAGAAGAGAAGAGAAUUGUCAGAUAAGGAGAGGCAUGGUGUUUACUUUUCCUUGCUGGUAAUCGAGCUCAGAGAUGGGUCUAUUCAACCAGACGACAAGCUGCUAGUCUCAAACCUAUUGGACAUAAGUGUACGAUCUGUUGAAAGAAUCUGGGAACAGGCUAAAAAGCAAAUUGCCGAUGGCAAAGAAGUAGAUGUCUCAAGCAAGAAGCCAGGAAGGUCUGGCCGAAAGAGAAAGGAGCUGGAUCUAGAGAGGACCUCAACAAUCCCACUGAAUAAAAGAAGAACAAUUUGAUCUCUGGCA
RNAcentral lists this ribosomal RNA (321 nucleotides) under Triticum aestivum (bread wheat). Its description in RNAcentral is "partial small subunit ribosomal RNA". Lineage: Eukaryota; Viridiplantae; Streptophyta; Magnoliopsida; Poales; Poaceae. The record is from RNAcentral.